CUCUUGGGAACAGAAAAUUGCUGUAGGUAUCCUAGUUUUCCUACAGAAGCUCUUGGGUUGCUUCAAGCAACAAACAAAUAAACAAAUAUCUUUUGGGUUGCCUCAAGUAACAGAUAAUCAUACAAUAAGUACUUUACUCUUUCCUUUUUCUU
Arachis ipaensis is the source of this 152-nucleotide non-coding RNA. NCBI's taxonomy places the organism in Eukaryota, Viridiplantae, Streptophyta, Magnoliopsida, Fabales, Fabaceae. The record is from RefSeq and is a predicted model, not a curated record.